RNAcentral lists this transfer RNA (77 nucleotides) under Gammaproteobacteria bacterium. Its description in RNAcentral is "tRNA-Arg". It matches the Rfam family "tRNA". From Rfam's summary of the family: Transfer RNA (tRNA) molecules are approximately 80 nucleotides in length. The record is from RNAcentral. Lineage: Bacteria; Pseudomonadati; Pseudomonadota; Gammaproteobacteria. RNAcentral also lists the same sequence under 2 other names.
GCGCCUGUAGCUCAGCUGGAUAGAGUACCUGGCUACGAACCAGGCGGUCGGGCGUUCGAAUCGCUCCAGGCGCGCCA